Molecule: ribosomal RNA, 409 nt
Filed under: uncultured actinomycete
Lineage: Bacteria; Bacillati; Actinomycetota; Actinomycetes; Actinomycetales
Description: bacterial SSU rRNA
Rfam family: Bacterial small subunit ribosomal RNA
Source: RNAcentral
GAGUUUGAUCCUGGCUCAGGAUAAACGCUGGCGGCGUGCCUAACCCAUGCAAGUCGAACGGUCCCGCAAGGGAUAGUGGCGGACGGGUGAGUAACACGUAGAAAUCUGCCUCGCCGGAGGGAAUAACUCCUCGAAAGAAGAGCUAAUACCCAAAAGGAUCCGCAAGGAUCAGAGUCCGCAAGGGCCUGGCGAGAGGAGUCUGCGGCCCAUCAGCUUGUUGGUGGGGUAAUGGCCUACCAAGGCUACGACGGGUAGGGGGCCUGAGAGGAUGUCCCCCCACACUGGAACUGAAACACGGUCCAGACACCUACGGGUGACAGCAGGGAGGAAUAUUGGACAAUGGGGGAAACCCUGAUCCAGCAACGCCGCGUGAGGGAUGAANGUCUUCGGGCUGUAAACCUCUUUUCAG